This 253-nucleotide ribosomal RNA is filed under the name uncultured bacterium. RNAcentral describes it as "partial 16S ribosomal RNA". It matches the Rfam family "Bacterial small subunit ribosomal RNA", at positions 524 to 776 of the family's 1533-position model. The record is from RNAcentral.
UACGGAGGGUGCAAGCGUUGUCCGGAUUUAUUGGGUUUAAAGGGUGCGUAGGCGGCCCAUUAAGUCAGCGGUGAAAGCCCGGGGCUCAACCCCGGAACCGCCGUUGAUACUGGUGGGCUUGAGUAUGGACGAGGUUGGCGGAAUUGAGGGUGUAGCGGUGAAAUGCUUAGAUACCCUCAAGAACACCGAUUGCGUAGGCAGCUCGCUUGGCCGAAACUGACGCUGAGGCACGAAAGCGUGGGGAGCGAACAGG